Molecule: ribosomal RNA, 254 nt
Filed under: uncultured bacterium
Lineage: Bacteria
Description: partial 16S ribosomal RNA
Rfam family: Bacterial small subunit ribosomal RNA
Source: RNAcentral
UACAGAGGUCCCAAGCGUUGUUCGGAUUCACUGGGCGUAAAGGGUGCGUAGGCGGUCGGGUAAGUCUGAUGUGAAAUCUCACAGCUUAACUGUGAAACUGCAUUGGAUACUAUUCGGCUUGAGAGUUGGAGGGGGGGACUGGAAUUCUUGGUGUAGCAGUGAAAUGCGUAGAUAUCAAGAGGAACACCAGUGGCGAAGGCGAGUCCCUGGACAACUUCUGACGCUGAGGCACGAAAGCUAGGGGAGCAAACAGG